Molecule: long non-coding RNA, 315 nt
Organism: Pelmatolapia mariae (spotted tilapia)
Lineage: Eukaryota; Metazoa; Chordata; Actinopteri; Cichliformes; Cichlidae
Exons: 3
Source: RefSeq, a predicted model, not a curated record
CGCAACCUUCAGUUGCAAUUCUGUCUUUUGCCUGAUUCCACGACAAAAACCCCAAAGAAUGAAAUACGGCUUCUUCAAGCUGGACUUGGAAGGCGAACUCUCAGCAUAGCUGACAAUGCUGAUCAUGAAGAAAUUACUGUAGCUCUGCAUGAAGAGUAUCCGAAGAUGAAGGCCCUAACUGGUGGAUGGCUCUUGUAUAAAGCAGGAGGUGGUAGCGGACAGAGAAAUCUCUCUCUAGUAUCUCAGGGAACACAAGGCUACACAGCCAAGACGCUCAAGAUGGCCACCAACAAUGGAAAAAAUACACUUUAUAUU